CCUACGGGUGGGCAGCAGUGAGGAAUAUUGGUAAAUGGACGAAAGUCUGAACCAGCCAAGUAGCGUGAAGGAUGACUGCCCUAUGGGUUGUAAACUUCUUUUAUAAAGGAAUAAAACGAGGCACGUGUGCCUUUUUGCAUGUACUUUAUGAAUAGGGAUCGGCUAACUCCUUGCCAGCAGCCGCGGUAAUAGGGAGGAUCCGGGCGUUAUCCGGAUUUAUUGGGUUUAAAGGGAGGGUAGAUGGGUGGUUAGGUCAGUUGUGAAAGUUGGUGGCUGAACCGUAAAAUGAAAAUUGAUACUGGCAGUCGUGAGUACGGGUGAGGUAGGCGGAAUUCGUGGUGUAGCGGUGAAAUGCUUAGAUAUCACGAAGAACCCCGAUUGCGAAGGCAGCUUACUACACUGUGACUGACAUUGAUGCUCGAAAGUGCGGGUAUCAAACAGGAUUAGAUACACUUGUAGUC
This 461-nucleotide ribosomal RNA is filed under the name uncultured bacterium. RNAcentral's name for it is "partial 16S ribosomal RNA". It matches the Rfam family "Bacterial small subunit ribosomal RNA", at positions 338 to 795 of the family's 1533-position model. The record is from RNAcentral.